AAAUUCUCCUGGCGGCCUCCGUUCAGACGCGGCAGCUGUGACCCACCUGCCUCCUCCGCAGAGCAAUGGCGGUGUCUGCCGGGUCCGCGCGGACCUCGCCCAGCUCAGGGUUCUUGAUGGUGCUAGACAUUCCCCAGGAGCGGGGGCUCAGCUCUCUGGACCGGAAAUACCUUGAUGGGCUGGUCUCAAACUCAUGACCUUAAGUAUCCACCUGCCUUGGCCUCCCAAAGGGCUGGGAUUACAGGUGUGAGCCACCGUGCCCAGCCAAAUCUGUUUUCAUUACUACCUAUAUCUGUAUUUUCAACCUUUGUAUUAGCAUCUAGUUAGGGAUAGACCAGGACAGGGCCGACAUGUUAGUUGUCAAGCAGAUUGCCACCCUCCCCCACCACUGAGGAGGCCAAAUGGAGUUUGGUGGAAAAUCUCUAAUUCAUUCAAGGUAUUAUAUGGGCAAGCAAUGGCUGUGGCACAGGGUCCCCUGAUUACUUUGUAAGAAUGGGUGGGAGGGAUGCUGAUUUUCAAUCCUUUUGCAGAUCUUCUCUCAUAGUAACACAAUAGAAGAUACU
This 563-nucleotide long non-coding RNA is filed under the name Homo sapiens (human). Its description in RNAcentral is "non-protein coding lnc-TMEM150A-5:1". Lineage: Eukaryota; Metazoa; Chordata; Mammalia; Primates; Hominidae. The record is from RNAcentral.